CAGCCGCCGCGGGAAUACAGAGGGUGCGAGCGUUAAUCGGAUUUACUGGGCGUAAAGCGUGCGUAGGCGGCUUCUUAAGUCGGAUGUGAAAUCCCUGAGCUUAACUUAGGAAUUGCAUUCGAUACUGGGAAGCUAGAGUACGGGAGAGGAUGGUAGAAUUCCAGGUGUAGCGGUGAAAUGCGUAGAGAUCUGGAGGAAUACCGAUGGCGAAGGCAGCCAUCUGGCCUAAUACUGACGCUGAGGUACGAAAGCAUGGGGAGCAAACAGGAUUAGAUACCCCAGUAGUCCCUGUCUCUUAUAC
Molecule: ribosomal RNA, 301 nt
Filed under: uncultured bacterium
Lineage: Bacteria
Description: partial 16S ribosomal RNA
Rfam family: Bacterial small subunit ribosomal RNA
Source: RNAcentral